Hibiscus syriacus is the source of this 202-nucleotide long non-coding RNA. RefSeq lists it as uncharacterized. NCBI's taxonomy places the organism in Eukaryota, Viridiplantae, Streptophyta, Magnoliopsida, Malvales, Malvaceae. The record is from RefSeq and is a predicted model, not a curated record. The transcript is spliced from 2 exons.
CUUUUCUCUAGCCAUUUUCAGCUAUGGGAAAGUAAGUGGGGGGGGGGGGGUGCUAUCCAAAAUGGAUUUCCAAAGAGCUGCAUCCCAAGUAUGUGAAGUAUCGUUAACCGAUAACGUGGUGAACAUAUUAUUCCAUUUGCUCGAUUCGAAUCGUGACGGGAGCCUAAGCUCGGACGAGUUUGUUCGAGUGGUGGAGCGGAGG